UGACUAUUGGCAAGUGAAACGUAAAAGAUGACAAAGUUCUUUUUCUAGUUGACCAUUUUGUCGAUUUCAGCUAACCAGUCAGUCAGUCACUUUUUUUCCACUCGGGAUUAUAUUGGGUGCCAUUUCAAGGUUCCUACCAAAUGAAAAUUACCCAGGUUUAUGUUUCGAUGGAAAGCAAACCUAUCAGCCUGGAACAUAUGAUCCAUCAAAUAACUGCUCACGAUUUCAUUGCGGAAAAAAUGGUUAUUUGGUACACGAAACGUGCUCAGCAGUCGCAACUUCACCAGGAUACCACAGAAAUAUUGAUUAUACCAAAAAAUACCCAGAUUGCUGUGUGAAUGUUGUAAAAGAUGACUAGGUUGAAAAUAUAAUUUUCGAAUACCUCUGUCUAAA
Long non-coding RNA from Contarinia nasturtii (swede midge), 393 nucleotides. RefSeq lists it as uncharacterized. The record is from RefSeq and is a predicted model, not a curated record. NCBI's taxonomy places the organism in Eukaryota, Metazoa, Arthropoda, Insecta, Diptera, Cecidomyiidae. The transcript is spliced from 4 exons.